ACCUCACGCCGAUCAGGUUGGUACGAACUGGCGCUCGACUGUUUGUCUGUUCGACGGGCAAAACCGAUCUGUUGUAGUUUGACAGAAGUACUCAAUCUUCAGUUUCUGGUUGACUCAUGGUGGAUGAUGUGUGCCACUUGCCUGUGACGCAUAAUACAGUAGGUGUGACUUUCUGUUUUCUUUAGUACAAGCAUCUGUGCAUAUAAGCUUACCUCACCUGGCACUCUCCGAUCACCUUUACUACUCCAGCAACAGAACCUCUAGCAGCAUGGUUCUUGGCUUGGUUACUCUCUAUCUACAUUUGUUUCUUUCCUGUACAAACCCUCUUCCAUGCAAUGAUUACAAUGUUCUAAUAUCUUACCAAUCCUUAUUUUAUGCAGGUGGUGUCCAUACUGGUUGGAUUCAAUUGUUUCGGGUAAAUCUUGGAGACUGGUUCUAGCAUUUUGAUUUGGGGAAUCUUUUAGUCUUCAAUCUCAAAUGGCCAUUGGACAGGUUAUUACUAGCGCAUUUUGGAAACUCUUAAGUUUCCACCUCCGGUGGAUAGCGGCACUUAAUUUUGUUUUAAAGUUCUCUAUUUGUUGAUUUGGUUUUCCAUCAUGCUCCAAGUUAAAUGGAUUUGUGCAGAUUUUCUCUAAAGUAAAUGAUUGGUCAAGGCAAAUGAUUACCGACGCUAGAGUAGCAAUUAUGCAGAUUUUCUCUAAGAAUUACUUCAUGUUCUGGUUCCUUUUUCUGUUAUGUCUUGUGAGCAUACACAAAGAUGUCCAGGGAAUAUAUAUCUUCUCCAAGAAGCAAAGGUAAAAUCUAAUUAGAAGAACACAUGUUUUUAGCAGUAACACCUAACCUCCUUAUUGGAAAUGGGUUCCUGUGGUAUCCACCAGACGUGUGUAUGGAUGCUAGGUCAAUUUUUUUGUAGUUAUCCACUAACCUGGAAAACACCACGGAACCUGUUCGGCUCUUAGAAUCAGACAUCACAGAGCAGCCAUUCCGACAAUUCUCAAAUGUUGAUGUCCAUUCCAAGCUUUACAUAGAUAUCUUUCCUUAAAAUAAAUAAAUUAUAGUUAGAAACAAGCCCGUCAUAAAGGAGGAUCUACAAUUAGCAAUUUUAUUUCAAUAGAUUGAAGAAAUGAAUGAAAAACAUGGUUUUUGUUAUAUAUGUGAGUAUACUAUUUGAAUCCUUCUUGCUAUUUUUAUGAGGCAUCACUUCACAAUUUUUAUUUAUGGAGCUUCCUUCAGUAUGUAGUCUAUAGAUGCAACUUUAUUUAUUGGUCCAUACAUUUUCUGUAGAUGACAUCUCAAGCACUUGCUCUAAUAAAUUAUAAUUUAUUUAUACAGGCUGGUGCUGAUGUGAAUAAAAUUGACUAUAUGGGCAUUACUUGAUGGCAGCAAUGAACAGUGUCCUACCUGGUAUGAUGAACUGCUUACUAGAUGCUGGUGUUAACCCAAAUGUUCCUGCCAGACCGAGUUAAUGAGUCUUAUAUUAUUUCCUCCUCCGCCUUUGUGAUCCCAUUUUCAUGCAGUACAAAGUUAAAAGUAGUUUUAUGUUUUUGUUUCAAGGAUAUUGGAAGAGGGGAUCUUGACUGUUGAGGUCACUAAAGUAAACUUCACUAUUUAGAUUGAUAAAGUUGAAAUCUGAUCUUACUUCCUGUGUUAUAGUUUUCAUUUCCACUAGAGGAUUUCACUUUCAUAACCAGUGCUGAUGUUUUGUUUAGCAUGGCUUGGGAUAUUUCAUGUUCAUGUAUCAAAGACUCAUUGCUAGCAUUGAUGUUUUAUUUAGCAUUGUUGCUAAUUCAUAUAUUUCCUUAAAAUUUAAAAGGAAAUAGUAUUAUCAUCUAACAUCUCACACCCAUAAUCUGAAUGUUGUGAUUAUUAAAGAAAUAAGACUUGCUAUUUUAUAACUUAAUAGGUGCCAACUUGUCUGCAAGCUACCAAUUGAGCAUCGAACGGAGAUGGAAGUAUUGUGCUCUUGUUUCUGACUGGAUUAGCGCUAAUGCACGAUUGAUGUGCUGAUGGUGCAUGUAUGUACAUGUAGCUGACUGAGGAUGA
Molecule: long non-coding RNA, 2043 nt
Filed under: Triticum aestivum (bread wheat)
Lineage: Eukaryota; Viridiplantae; Streptophyta; Magnoliopsida; Poales; Poaceae
Description: long non-coding RNA (TAES_LNC010422)
Source: RNAcentral